CCUCAAAUCAGGUAGGACUACCCGCUGAACUUAAGCAUAUCAAUAAGCGGAGGAAAAGAAACUAACAAGGAUUCCCCCAGUAACUGCGAGUGAAGAGGGAAGAGCUCAAAUUUAGAAUCUGGCAGUCUUUGGCUGUCCGAGUUGUAAAUUAGAGAAGUGUUAUCCGCGCUGGCUGUGCAUAAGUCUCCUGGAAAAGGGCAUCAUAGAGGGUGACAAUCCCGUCUUUGGCACAGACUACCAGGGCUUUUGUGAUACGCUCUCGAUGAGUCGAGUUGUUUGGGAAUGCAGCUCUAAAUGGGUGGUAAAUUCCAUCUAAAGCUAAAUAUUGGCGAGAGACCGAUAGCGCACAAGUACCGUGAGGGAAAGAUGAAAAGAACUUUGAAAAGAGAGUUAAACAGUACGUGAAAUUGUUGAAAGGGAAACGCUUGAAGUCAGUCACAUCCUUCAGAAAUCAACCUGACCGUCAGGUCUGGUGUACUUUCUGUUUGGAUGGGUCAGCAUCAAUUUUGAUCAUUGGAUAAAGGCCUUGGGAAAGUGGCAUCUCCGGAUGUGUUAUAGCCUAUGGUUCAUACACAGUGGUUGGGAUUGAGGAACUCUGUGCUUUUUUGCACUACAGGAUGCUGGCA
RNAcentral lists this ribosomal RNA (626 nucleotides) under uncultured Basidiomycota. RNAcentral's name for it is "LSU rRNA". It matches the Rfam family "Eukaryotic large subunit ribosomal RNA", at positions 1 to 631 of the family's 3401-position model. Lineage: Eukaryota; Fungi; Basidiomycota. The record is from RNAcentral.